This 467-nucleotide ribosomal RNA is filed under the name uncultured bacterium. RNAcentral describes it as "partial 16S ribosomal RNA". It matches the Rfam family "Bacterial small subunit ribosomal RNA", at positions 28 to 507 of the family's 1533-position model. The record is from RNAcentral.
GACAAACGCUGGCGGCGUGCUUAACACAUGCAAGUCGAACGGAAAGGCCCUGCUUUUGUGGGGUGCUCGAGUGGCGAACGGGUGAGUAACACGUGAGUAACCUGCCCUUGACUUUGGGAUAACUUCAGGAAACUGGGGCUAAUACCGGAUAGGAGCUCCUGCUGCAUGGUGGGGUUGGAAAAUUUCGGCGGUUGGGGAUGGACUCGCGGCUUAUCAGCUUGUUGGUGGGGUAGUGGCUUACCAAGGCUUUGACGGGUAGCCGGCCUGAGAGGGUGACCGGCCACAUUGGGACUGAGAUACGGCCCAGACUCCUACGGGAGGCAGCAGUGGGGAAUAUUGCACAAUGGGCGGAAGCCUGAUGCAGCAACGCCGCGUGCGGGAUGACGGCCUUCGGGUUGUAAACCGCUUUCGCCUGUGACGAAGCGUGAGUGACGGUAAUGGGUAAAGAAGCACCGGCUAACUACGUG